UACAGAGGGUGCGAGCGUUGUCCGGAAUCACUGGGCGUAAAGGGCGCGUAGGUGGUGGCUUAAGCGUGCGGUGAAAGCUCGGGGCUCAACCCCGAGUCGGCCGUGCGAACUGGGCCUCACGUGGCAUAGUAGAGGCAGGUGGAAUUCCGGGUGUAGCGGUGGAAUGCGUAGAGAUCCGGAAGAACACCGGAGGCGAAGGCGGCUUGCUGGGCUGACACUGACGCUCAUGCACGAAAGCGUGGGGAGCGAACAAGG
This 255-nucleotide ribosomal RNA is filed under the name uncultured bacterium. Its description in RNAcentral is "partial 16S ribosomal RNA". It matches the Rfam family "Bacterial small subunit ribosomal RNA", at positions 524 to 777 of the family's 1533-position model. The record is from RNAcentral.